CUUGACUUUGGAAUCAGCGAAAGAGAUAUUAGCAAAAGUGGUAUGAUGAAACUGACACUCCAUAUGUGCUUUAUGGAGUUGUGUUUUCCUGAUUCUUCAUGGUCCAUGUAGAUGUGUUGAUGUCUGUGCAACUGAAGGAACAAUCACCUCUUCCAGUAUUUAUAGACUGCUUUUUGCAGGUCUGCAGGCCUGCCUCUGUGAGUACAGAUGGGUUUGUCUCCAGUGUGUGGGUACACCUGCCUGUGGACUGAGCUGAUCAGGGUUGAAGCUAGGUCACAGAGAUGCUUCAGGAGUUGAAGUUGGAACUGCAGUCAGCCAGCCUGUUACCCAAGAGACAAGCAGAAUACAUUAUCUUUUGUUUUAUGCUGAAGUAGAGUGCAGCAAGCAAAAAGCAGCAAAAGACACAUAAUCAAAGUACUUGGAAUGCUGACUGUAAAAUUAUGCUGAGAACUGGCUGCAUGAUAAGAUGCUUUUCCUUCCUCUUUGUUAUUUGUAUUAUUUUGUAAAGAUAGGCCAGUGUGAGUAUGUCCAAAUAAGCUAAUAAUCUAUUUCCCUUAAAAUUUCAGCAAAUAUUCAAGAGAAUAAAAAUGUAAGUUAUUGUCCACACAGCUAAUGUUAAUUUUUCAUUAACAUAAUUUAAGUCUCGGUGAUAGUUUGAAAAUGUUCAUAAUGUUCAUUAUCUAAUAAAAUAGAUAAUUGUGGAAUUAUCUAACUCGUAGAAGAUUAAUUGUGGAAGAGUUGUUUGUAUAUUUGUAACUGUCUCGUUUUUAGUAAAACCAAUUUUUUUUUCUGAGUUAAAAUAUUAAACAAUGAAAAAGUAAACUCAAUAAAUGUAAUUCAGUGCCUUGCAUAAUAGAAAAAUGUUAACAAGGUAAAAGCUGUUAAAAUUGGGAUGGUUUCAAAUUUUAAUGUGAAAAUUUCUGUGAUAAUUUAAUCUGCUAAUAUAAUGUUUAACUCUAGAUCUCUUUCUUGUGACAUGGCUCGAUGCAAUUUAGGUUGCUGUCAUUAAAAUUCUACAAGCACAUCAUACAGGCCUAUCUGCAGUGUAC
RNAcentral lists this long non-coding RNA (1049 nucleotides) under Homo sapiens (human). RNAcentral describes it as "non-protein coding lnc-SERPINB3-3:4". The record is from RNAcentral. Lineage: Eukaryota; Metazoa; Chordata; Mammalia; Primates; Hominidae.